Molecule: transfer RNA, 73 nt
Filed under: Candidatus Woesearchaeota archaeon
Lineage: Archaea; Nanobdellati; Candidatus Woesearchaeota
Description: tRNA-Asp
Rfam family: tRNA
About the family: Transfer RNA (tRNA) molecules are approximately 80 nucleotides in length.
Source: RNAcentral
GCCCUGGUAGUGUAGUGGCCUAUCAUGAUGCCCUGUCGCGGCAUCGACCCGAGUUCAAAUCUCGGCCAGGGCG